Non-coding RNA from Lupinus angustifolius (narrow-leaved blue lupine), 95 nucleotides. NCBI's taxonomy places the organism in Eukaryota, Viridiplantae, Streptophyta, Magnoliopsida, Fabales, Fabaceae. The record is from Rfam.
AGAGACAUAUGUAGCCAAGAACAACUUGCCAGAUUAUAAGCAAUCAUAAAAUGAAUGUAUUCCGGCAAGUCAUUCUUGGCUGCAAUUCACUCUCU